GACGAACGCUGGCGGCGUGCUUAACACAUGCAAGUCGAACGGAAAGGCCCUGCUUUUGUGGGGUGCUCGAGUGGCGAACGGGUGAGUAACACGUGAGUAACCUGCCCUUGACUUUGGGAUAACUUCAGGAAACUGGGGCUAAUACCGGAUAGGAGCUCCUGCUGCAUGGUGGGGGUUGGAAAGUUUCGGCGGUUGGGGAUGGACUCGCGGCUUAUCAGCUUGUUGGUGGGGUAGUGGCUUACCAAGGCUUUGACGGGUAGCCGGCCUGAGAGGGUGACCGGCCACAUUGGGACUGAGAGACGGCCCAGACUCCUACGGGAGGCAGCAGUGGGGAAUAUUGCACGAUGGGCGGAAGCCUGAUGCAGCAACGCCGCGUGCGGGAUGACGGCCUUCGGGUGGUAAACCGCUUUCGCCUGUGACGAAGCGUGAGGGACGGUAAUGGGUAAAGAAACACCGGCUAACUACGU
RNAcentral lists this ribosomal RNA (467 nucleotides) under uncultured bacterium. RNAcentral describes it as "partial 16S ribosomal RNA". It matches the Rfam family "Bacterial small subunit ribosomal RNA", at positions 28 to 506 of the family's 1533-position model. The record is from RNAcentral.